AGGAAACGGCGAGGUAGUGCAAAGAGGCGGUGGUUAAGGGUAAUGGUGGUGGUAUGCGAUAGGUUGCGAUGGUGUGCGAAAGGUGUAAGAAAUGUUGACGGCAAAGACGUAGUUCGAUGGUAACGGCAAAGACGUAGUUCGACGCUGACGGUGGAGACACAAUUCGACGAUCACGGUGACGAGGUAGUGCGAAGGGCGACAACAUUGUAGUGCGAAGGGACGUUGGUUAAGGGUAUUGCAGUGGUGUGCGAUAGGUUGCGGUGGUGUGCGAAAGGUGUGGGAAACGCAAUUACAAGAAAAGAGGAGAAAGUAAGUAUGUUUAUUUUGGUUUUUCUGGCAUUUUAAGCUUUAGGGUUUGAUGUUUAGUGUCUUCUUUGAUGAUUGAUAUUAUUGUUGGUCAUUGUAUAUGGGUUUUCAUUUGAAAGUUUGUAUUAUUGAAAAAGUAUUAAACUUUUGUGAUGAGUGAUUGGUCUUGUGGUUUAGUUCACUUGCUUCAUUGUUUACUGUAUCUUGGUCUGCGAUUUUGGGACUGGCUUUCAACGGUUUUUUGAGUUCAAUACAGGUUAUUAUAGAAUUCAACAGUCCAGAGAUGUGAAUUGAAUUGGGGGCCCCCUUGAUUUUAAGUGGGGACCUGUGUACAACUUUAUGCACUGUAUUAAAAUUUUAUCAUGAGUGAUUGGUCUUGUGUUUUAGUUCACUUGCUUCAUUGUUUACUGUUUUUUGUUAUCCGAUUUUGGGACUGGUUUUCAAUUUUUUUUUAGUUUAAUCCAGGUUAUUAUGCAAUUCAACCGUCCAGACCUGUGAAUUGGGGACCCCUUU
Molecule: long non-coding RNA, 819 nt
Filed under: Phaseolus vulgaris (common bean)
Lineage: Eukaryota; Viridiplantae; Streptophyta; Magnoliopsida; Fabales; Fabaceae
Description: long non-coding RNA (PVUL_LNC000169)
Source: RNAcentral